CCACGGGUUGCUCCAGUGAGGAAUUUUGCGCAAUGGGGGAAACCCUGACGCAGCAACGCCGCGUGAGUGAUGAAGGCCUUCGGGUCGUAAAACUCUGUCAAGUGGGAAGAACCUAUGUAAGGUUAAUACCCUUAUGUACUGACGGUACCACUGAAGGAAGCACCGGCUAACUCCGUGCCAGCAGCCGCGGUAAUACGGAGGGUGCAAGCGUUAUUCGGAAUUAUUGGGCGUAAAGGGCGCGCAGGCGGUUUUGUAAGUCAGAUGUGAAAGCCCGGGGCUUAACCUCGGAAGUGCAUUUGAGACUGCAAGACUUGAGUAUGGGAGGGGGAAGUGGAAUUCCUGGUGUAGAGGUGAAAUUCGUAGAUAUCAGGAGGAACACCAGUGGCGAAGGCGACUUCCUGGACCAAUACUGACGCUGAGGCGCGAAGGCGUGGGGAGCAAACAGGAUUAGAUACCCGCGUAGUC
Molecule: ribosomal RNA, 465 nt
Filed under: uncultured bacterium
Lineage: Bacteria
Description: partial 16S ribosomal RNA
Rfam family: Bacterial small subunit ribosomal RNA
Source: RNAcentral